AGCCCUGUAGUAUAGUGGUCAAGUAUACAGGCCUUUGGCGCCUGGGACCCAGGUUCGAAUCCUGG
RNAcentral lists this transfer RNA (65 nucleotides) under Candidatus Pacearchaeota archaeon RBG_16_35_8. RNAcentral describes it as "tRNA-Gln". It matches the Rfam family "tRNA", at positions 1 to 63 of the family's 71-position model. Rfam says of the family: Transfer RNA (tRNA) molecules are approximately 80 nucleotides in length. Their secondary structure includes four short double-helical elements and three loops (D, anti-codon, and T loops). Lineage: Archaea; Nanobdellati. The record is from RNAcentral.